Molecule: ribosomal RNA, 253 nt
Filed under: uncultured prokaryote
Description: partial 16S ribosomal RNA
Rfam family: Bacterial small subunit ribosomal RNA
Source: RNAcentral
AGACAGAGGGGGCAAGCGUUGCUCGGAAUUACUGGGCGUAAAGGGCGCGUAGGCGGGAUGGCAAGUCGGUCGUGAAAUCCUUCGGCUCAACCGAAGAACGUCGAUCGAUACUGCUGUUCUAGAGGGUUGCAGAGGAGACUGGAAUUCCCGGUGUAGCGGUGAAAUGUGUAGAGAUCGGGAGGAACACCGGUGGCGAAGGCGGGUCUCUGGGCAACUCCUGACGCUGAGGCGCGAAAGCGUGGGGAGCAAACGG